This 403-nucleotide long non-coding RNA is filed under the name Ananas comosus (pineapple). RNAcentral describes it as "long non-coding RNA (ACOM_LNC033397)". Lineage: Eukaryota; Viridiplantae; Streptophyta; Magnoliopsida; Poales; Bromeliaceae. The record is from RNAcentral.
GACCCAAGAGGUUAAGAGAGUUAAGCGUGCUAGGACGGGAGUAGUCCUAGGAUGGGUGACACCCUGGGAAGUCGGGGUGUCACAGAUGGUAUCAGAGCCAAUUACCAGCCGGAAGUGUGAGAUAAGUCUCGGCUGAGCCAGGGUCUGGAUGACGGGCUAGCGAGAUGAGUCUCACAUCGCCUGGUACUUGUGAGUCUGAGCCUUACGAGGACGUCAGGGCUUAAAAGGAGGGGAGAUUGUGAGACCCCAGAUGGUCCUAUAUAUAAGAUAUAAUAUGGCUAAACUCUUAACCCGGCUUAAGCAUUUUGGGUGGUUGCAAGACCCAAGAGGUUAAGAGAGUUAAGCGUGCUAGGACGGGAGUAGUCCUAGGAUGGGUGACACCCUGGGAAGUCGGGGUGUCACA